GGAUGUGAGGGUGAUCUUACUGCGAUAUUUGUCACCCCAUUGAUUGCCAGGGUUGAUUUGGCUUAUCUGGCUGGCUAUUUGGGUGUUCCCUUCCUCCCUCACUGCUCCAUAUGUGUCCCUCCCAAAGCUGUGGGUUUGGUCAGAGGACAGACUGCUUUCCAUGAAUAGAGACAGACCAGUCUUCGGUCGAGGGCAUACAAGUAGCUGCACUCCCCUGCUAGAAUCUCCAAAAAAAGCUCUCAAGAUAUGAGUGAUUUUUGAGGACGGUGAGAAAGAUCUUGGAAAUAGGGAAAG
Unclassified non-coding RNA from Erinaceus europaeus (western European hedgehog), 294 nucleotides. Its record names the gene 7SK. It matches the Rfam family "7SK RNA". Rfam says of the family: 7SK was discovered as an abundant small nuclear RNA in the mid-70s but a possible function has only recently been suggested. NCBI's taxonomy places the organism in Eukaryota, Metazoa, Chordata, Mammalia, Eulipotyphla, Erinaceidae. The record is from Ensembl.